GGGGGGAGGCCAGAUCCUGGGCUGUGUCCCCUGGGCCCUGUGCCUCCAGGCCUGUGCUGUUGGAUUCGUGCUCCCGCCCGGCAGCCCCCU
Non-coding RNA from Canis lupus familiaris (dog), 90 nucleotides. The record is from Rfam. Lineage: Eukaryota; Metazoa; Chordata; Mammalia; Carnivora; Canidae.